RNAcentral lists this ribosomal RNA (254 nucleotides) under uncultured bacterium. Its description in RNAcentral is "partial 16S ribosomal RNA". It matches the Rfam family "Bacterial small subunit ribosomal RNA", at positions 524 to 776 of the family's 1533-position model. The record is from RNAcentral.
UACGUAGGGGGGCAAGCGUUGUCCGGAAUUAUUGGGCGUAAAGAGCGUGUAGGCGGCCAGAUAAGUCCGCUGUGAAAUCUCGAGGCUCAACUUCGAGCUGUCGGUGGAAACUAUCUGGCUAGAGUCCGGAAGAGGAGAAUGGAAUUCCUGGUGUAGCGGUGAAAUGCGCAGAUAUCAGGAAGAACACCCGUGGCGAAGGCGGUUCUCUGGGACGGUACUGACGCUGAGACGCGAAAGCGUGGGGAGCGAACAGG